This 2888-nucleotide ribosomal RNA is filed under the name Pseudomonas aeruginosa. Its description in RNAcentral is "23S ribosomal RNA". It matches the Rfam family "Bacterial large subunit ribosomal RNA". The record is from RNAcentral. Lineage: Bacteria; Pseudomonadati; Pseudomonadota; Gammaproteobacteria; Pseudomonadales; Pseudomonadaceae.
GGUCAAGUGAAGAAGCGCAUACGGUGGAUGCCUUGGCAGUCAGAGGCGAUGAAAGACGUGGUAGCCUGCGAAAAGCUUCGGGGAGUCGGCAAACAGACUUUGAUCCGGAGAUCUCUGAAUGGGGAACCCACCUAGGAUAACCUAGGUAUCUUGUACUGAAUCCAUAGGUGCAAGAGGCGAACCAGGGGAACUGAAACAUCUAAGUACCCUGAGGAAAAGAAAUCAACCGAGAUUCCCUUAGUAGUGGCGAGCGAACGGGGAUUAGCCCUUAAGCUUCAUUGAUUUUAGCGGAACGCUCUGGAAAGUGCGGCCAUAGUGGGUGAUAGCCCCGUACGCGAAAGGAUCUUUGAAGUGAAAUCGAGUAGGACGGAGCACGAGAAACUUUGUCUGAACAUGGGGACCAUCCUCCAAGGCUAAAUACUACUGACUGACCGAUAGUGAACCAGUACCGUGAGGGAAAGGCGAAAAGAACCCCGGAGAGGGGAGUGAAAUAGAACCUGAAACCGUAUGCGUACAAGCAGUGGGAGCCUACUUGUUAGGUGACUGCGUACCUUUUGUAUAAUGGGUCAGCGACUUAUAUUCAGUGGCAAGCUUAACCGUAUAGGGUAGGCGUAGCGAAAGCGAGUCUUAAUAGGGCGUUUAGUCGCUGGGUAUAGACCCGAAACCGGGCGAUCUAUCCAUGAGCAGGUUGAAGGUUAGGUAACACUGACUGGAGGACCGAACCCACUCCCGUUGAAAAGGUAGGGGAUGACUUGUGGAUCGGAGUGAAAGGCUAAUCAAGCUCGGAGAUAGCUGGUUCUCCUCGAAAGCUAUUUAGGUAGCGCCUCAUGUAUCACUCUGGGGGGUAGAGCACUGUUUCGGCUAGGGGGUCAUCCCGACUUACCAAACCGAUGCAAACUCCGAAUACCCAGAAGUGCCGAGCAUGGGAGACACACGGCGGGUGCUAACGUCCGUCGUGAAAAGGGAAACAACCCAGACCGCCAGCUAAGGUCCCAAAGUUGUGGUUAAGUGGUAAACGAUGUGGGAAGGCUUAGACAGCUAGGAGGUUGGCUUAGAAGCAGCCAUCCUUUAAAGAAAGCGUAAUAGCUCACUAGUCGAGUCGGCCUGCGCGGAAGAUGUAACGGGGCUCAAACCACACACCGAAGCUGCGGGUGUCACGUAAGUGACGCGGUAGAGGAGCGUUCUGUAAGCCUGUGAAGGUGAGUUGAGAAGCUUGCUGGAGGUAUCAGAAGUGCGAAUGCUGACAUGAGUAACGACAAUGGGUGUGAAAAACACCCACGCCGAAAGACCAAGGGUUCCUGCGCAACGUUAAUCGACGCAGGGUUAGUCGGUUCCUAAGGCGAGGCUGAAAAGCGUAGUCGAUGGGAAACAGGUUAAUAUUCCUGUACUUCUGGUUACUGCGAUGGAGGGACGGAGAAGGCUAGGCCAGCUUGGCGUUGGUUGUCCAAGUUUAAGGUGGUAGGCUGAAAUCUUAGGUAAAUCCGGGGUUUCAAGGCCGAGAGCUGAUGACGAGUCGUCUUUUAGAUGACGAAGUGGUUGAUGCCAUGCUUCCAAGAAAAGCUUCUAAGCUUCAGGUAACCAGGAACCGUACCCCAAACCGACACAGGUGGUCGGGUAGAGAAUACCAAGGCGCUUGAGAGAACUCGGGUGAAGGAACUAGGCAAAAUGGCACCGUAACUUCGGGAGAAGGUGCGCCGGCUAGGGUGAAGGAUUUACUCCGUAAGCUCUGGCUGGUCGAAGAUACCAGGCCGCUGCGACUGUUUAUUAAAAACACAGCACUCUGCAAACACGAAAGUGGACGUAUAGGGUGUGACGCCUGCCCGGUGCCGGAAGGUUAAUUGAUGGGGUUAGCGCAAGCGAAGCUCUUGAUCGAAGCCCCGGUAAACGGCGGCCGUAACUAUAACGGUCCUAAGGUAGCGAAAUUCCUUGUCGGGUAAGUUCCGACCUGCACGAAUGGCGUAACGAUGGCGGCGCUGUCUCCACCCGAGACUCAGUGAAAUUGAAAUCGCUGUGAAGAUGCAGUGUAUCCGCGGCUAGACGGAAAGACCCCGUGAACCUUUACUGUAGCUUUGCACUGGACUUUGAGCCUGCUUGUGUAGGAUAGGUGGGAGGCUUUGAAGCGUGGACGCCAGUUCGCGUGGAGCCAUCCUUGAAAUACCACCCUGGCAUGCUUGAGGUUCUAACUCUGGUCCGUGAUCCGGAUCGAGGACAGUGUAUGGUGGGCAGUUUGACUGGGGCGGUCUCCUCCUAAAGAGUAACGGAGGAGUACGAAGGUGCGCUCAGACCGGUCGGAAAUCGGUCGUAGAGUAUAAAGGCAAAAGCGCGCUUGACUGCGAGACAGACACGUCGAGCAGGUACGAAAGUAGGUCUUAGUGAUCCGGUGGUUCUGUAUGGAAGGGCCAUCGCUCAACGGAUAAAAGGUACUCCGGGGAUAACAGGCUGAUACCGCCCAAGAGUUCAUAUCGACGGCGGUGUUUGGCACCUCGAUGUCGGCUCAUCACAUCCUGGGGCUGAAGCCGGUCCCAAGGGUAUGGCUGUUCGCCAUUUAAAGUGGUACGCGAGCUGGGUUUAGAACGUCGUGAGACAGUUCGGUCCCUAUCUGCCGUGGACGUUUGAGAUUUGAGAGGGGCUGCUCCUAGUACGAGAGGACCGGAGUGGACGAACCUCUGGUGUUCCGGUUGUCACGCCAGUGGCAUUGCCGGGUAGCUAUGUUCGGAAAAGAUAACCGCUGAAAGCAUCUAAGCGGGAAACUUGCCUCAAGAUGAGAUCUCACUGGGAACUUGAUUCCCCUGAAGGGCCGUCGAAGACUACGACGUUGAUAGGCUGGGUGUGUAAGCGUUGUGAGGCGUUGAGCUAACCAGUACUAAUUGCCCGUGAGGCUUGACCAU